Molecule: ribosomal RNA, 497 nt
Filed under: uncultured bacterium
Lineage: Bacteria
Description: partial 16S ribosomal RNA
Rfam family: Bacterial small subunit ribosomal RNA
Source: RNAcentral
GAUGAACGCUGGCGGCGUGCCUAAUACAUGCAAGUCGAGCGAACAGACGAGGAGCUUGCUCCUCUGACGUUAGCGGCGGACGGGUGAGUAACACGUGGAUAACCUACCUAUAAGACUGGGAUAACUUCGGGAAACCGGAGCUAAUACCGGAUAAUAUAUUGAACCGCAUGGUUCAAUAGUGAAAGACGGUUUUGCUGUCACUUAUAGAUGGAUCCGCGCCGCAUUAGCUAGUUGGUAAGGUAACGGCUUACGAAGGCAACGAUGCGUAGCCGACCUGAGAGGGUGAUCGGCCACACUGGAACUGAGACACGGUCCAGACUCCUACGGGAGGCAGCAGUAGGGAAUCUUCCGCAAUGGGUGAAAGCCUGACGGAGCAACGCCGCGUGAGUGAUGAAGGUCUUCGGAUCGUAAAACUCUGUUAUUAGGGAAGAACAAAUGUGUAAGUAACUAUGCACGUCUUGACGGUACCUAAUCAGAAAGCCACGGCUAACUACGUG